Misgurnus anguillicaudatus (oriental weatherfish) is the source of this 945-nucleotide non-coding RNA. The record is from RefSeq and is a predicted model, not a curated record. Lineage: Eukaryota; Metazoa; Chordata; Actinopteri; Cypriniformes; Cobitidae.
UUCUUUACAUUUGUGGUUACUUUAUUGAAAUUAGUUCACAGUGAUGUUUAUUCAGUUGUCUGUAUAUUUCGAUAUGACUAAUAUAUGAUAAACCGUUGACCGUUGGUUCGUGUCGCUCGAGCGCUGAGUGGGGUGAGCUGAGCUCGGCGCAGCUGUGAGCUAAUGGAGAUCUUUUAUUUGUCUUUAUCGUUUAUAAAAAUGUGUUAUGCAUGUUCUUAAAAGUAUUUAACAUAGUUUAGUUAAUUAUAACGCAAGUUUUCUCCAAGAAUUGCAAUGUGGGCUUGGUUCAGCUCCCGCAUAGAUUGACUGAGCUCGUGAGCUAACGUUUGUGGAGAUCUUUUAACUUAUUAGUCUUUAUAUCUUUUAUAAAAAUGUGUUGUGCUUGUUGUUAAAUGUAUUUGACAUUGUUUAGUUAAUUAAAACGCAGGUUAACUACAAGUAUUGCAAUAUGGGAUUUGUUCAACAGCUCCCUCUUAUGAAAAACAACGUUAAAGUUUUACAGUAAACUUAAACGAGCUAAAGGCCAUUCUGAAUUAAUAACUGUUGUAUAUUUAUGGUUACUUCUUUCAGAUCCCUUUCUUGGUGUGUCUUGAUGUUUUAUAUUGGCUAAAGACAAGAUAUGUCUGCAAAUGCCGGUUCCAUGUCACAUGGCUUAUUCGAGGCAAGAUCCACAAAAAACUCUGCAGAUUUUGUUACCAUCAACUUGCAUUAUACAACUGACAGACUGAAACGGUUGGACACAAAAAUCUACAUUUGUGUUCCACUGGAGAAACAAAGUCACCUACAUCUUGGAUGGCCUGGGGACUACCUGACCUGUUCCUGUUAAGAGCUAGUCACUCUUUGUGGAAUGUUCCUGGCCCAUUUUUUUCCACGUUUUUACAAAAGUUUUUUCAAUGACCUCAAAAUUGAUGUGUAAAAAUAAUAAUAAACUUGAAUUUGUUUAAA